GCGCAAGCCUGAUGCAGCCAUGCCGCGUGUGUGAAGAAGGCCUUCGGGUUGUAAAGCACUUUCAGUCGUGAGGAAGGUGGUAGUGUUAAUAGCACUAUCAUUUGACGUUAGCGACAGAAGAAGCACCGGCUAACUCCGUGCCAGCAGCCGCGGUAAUACGGAGGGUGCGAGCGUUAAUCGGAAUUACUGGGCGUAAAGCGCAUGCAGGUGGUUUGUUAAGUCAGAUGUGAAAGCCCGGGGCUCAACCUCGGAAUAGCAUUUGAAACUGGCAGACUAGAGUACUGUAGAGGGGGGUAGAAUUUCAGGUGUAGCGGUGAAAUGCGUAGAGAUCUGAAGGAAUACCGGUGGCGAAGGCGGCCCCCUGGACAGAUACUGACACUCAGAUGCGAAAGCGUGGGGAGCAAACAGGAUUAGAUACCCUGGUAGUCCACGCCGUAAACGAUGUCUACUUGGAGGUUGUGGCCUUGAGCCGUGGCUUUCGGAGCUAACGCGUUAAGUAGACCGCCUGGGGAAGUA
Molecule: ribosomal RNA, 516 nt
Filed under: Vibrio sp. QAT_1_316
Lineage: Bacteria; Pseudomonadati; Pseudomonadota; Gammaproteobacteria; Vibrionales; Vibrionaceae
Description: bacterial SSU rRNA
Rfam family: Bacterial small subunit ribosomal RNA
Source: RNAcentral